Schistosoma haematobium is the source of this 82-nucleotide non-coding RNA. The record is from Rfam. NCBI's taxonomy places the organism in Eukaryota, Metazoa, Platyhelminthes, Trematoda, Strigeidida, Schistosomatidae.
GUCGCAAUGACCGGGUGGUUAAGGCGUUGGACUAGGAAUCCAAUGUGGUUUCCUCGCGCAAGUUCAAACCCUGCUCGCAACG